GGAAUCUUCCACAAUGGACGAAAGUCUGAUGGAGCAACGCCGCGUGAGUGAUGAAGGUUUUCGGAUCGUAAAACUCUGUUGUAAGGGAAGAACAAGUACGAGAGGUAAUGCUCGUACCUUGACGGUACCUUGCGAGAAAGCCACGGCUAACUACGUGCCAGCAGCCGCGGUAAUACGUAGGUGGCAAGCGUUGUCCGGAAUUAUUGGGCGUAAAGCGCGCGCAGGCGGCCUUUUAAGUCUGAUGUGAAAGCCCCCGGCUCAACCGGGGAGGGUCAUUGGAAACUGGAAGGCUUGAGUACAGAAGAGAAGAGUGGAAUUCCAUGUGUAGCGGUGAAAUGCGUAGAGAUGUGGAGGAACACCAGUGGCGAAGGCGACUCUUUGGUCUGUAACUGACGCUGAGGCGCGAAAGCGUGGGGAGCAAACAGGAUUAGAUACCCCUG
This 440-nucleotide ribosomal RNA is filed under the name uncultured Exiguobacterium sp. Its description in RNAcentral is "bacterial SSU rRNA". It matches the Rfam family "Bacterial small subunit ribosomal RNA", at positions 358 to 789 of the family's 1533-position model. The record is from RNAcentral. Lineage: Bacteria; Bacillati; Bacillota; Bacilli; Caryophanales.